Molecule: ribosomal RNA, 472 nt
Filed under: uncultured bacterium
Lineage: Bacteria
Description: partial 16S ribosomal RNA
Rfam family: Bacterial small subunit ribosomal RNA
Source: RNAcentral
GACGAACGCUGGCGGCGUGCUUAACACAUGCAAGUCGAACGGGAGUAUCGAAGAAGCUUGCUUUUAAGAUACUUUAGUGGCGGACGGGUGAGUAACGCGUGAGGAGCUGUCCUAUGCAGGGGGACAACAGUUGGAAACGACUGCUAAUACCCCAUAAGCCGAGAGGUAAAAGGAUUUAUCCGGCAAAGGAGGUACUCGCGUCCUAUCAGCUAGUAGGUGGGGUAACGGCUCACCUAGGCGAAGACGGGUAGCCGGCCUGAGAGGGCGAACGGCCACACUGGAACUGAGAUACGGUCCAGACUCCUACGGGAGGCAGCAGUGGGGAAUAUUGGGCAAUGGGGGAAACCCUGACCCAGCGACGCCGCGUGGGUGAAGAAAUCCUUCGGGAUGUAAAGCCCUGUUGUAUGGGAAGAGCAGAAGACGGUACCAUACGAGGAAGCCCCGGCAAACUACGUGCCAGCCGCCGCCGUAA